AUCGCUUCUCGGCCUUUUGGCUAAGAUCAAGUGUAAAAAAAUAACCUGAUGUUAAUUAAUCUUUUUUUCAUAUUGUUCUGCUUCCUUAUAAAACUUACCAUUGUGCUACUGCCCAGUGGGAACUCUCA
Molecule: small nuclear RNA, 128 nt
Filed under: Nomascus leucogenys (northern white-cheeked gibbon)
Lineage: Eukaryota; Metazoa; Chordata; Mammalia; Primates; Hylobatidae
Description: U2 spliceosomal RNA
Rfam family: U2 spliceosomal RNA
About the family: U2 is a small nuclear RNA (snRNA) component of the spliceosome (involved in pre-mRNA splicing). Complementary binding between U2 snRNA (in an area lying towards the 5' end but 3' to hairpin I) and the branchpoint sequence (BPS) of the intron results the bulging out of an unpaired adenosine, on the BPS, which initiates a nucleophilic attack at the intronic 5' splice site, thus starting the first of two transesterification reactions that mediate splicing.
Source: Rfam by way of RNAcentral